Molecule: ribosomal RNA, 253 nt
Filed under: uncultured bacterium
Lineage: Bacteria
Description: partial 16S ribosomal RNA
Rfam family: Bacterial small subunit ribosomal RNA
Source: RNAcentral
UACGUAGGGUGCGAGCGUUAAUCGGAAUUACUGGGCGUAAAGCGUGCGCAGGCGGUUUUGUAAGCCAGAUGUGAAAGCCCCGGGCUUAACCUGGGAAUGGCAUUUGGGACUGCAAGGCUGGAGUGUGGCAGAGGAGACUGGAAUUCCUGGUGUAGCAGUGAAAUGCGUAGAUAUCAGGAGGAAUACCGAUGGCGAAGGCGGCACUCUGGGCCGUGACUGACGCUGAGGAGCGAAAGCGUGGGGAGCAAACAGG